GAUGAAGAACGCAGCGAAAUGCGAUAAGUAAUGCGAAUUGCAGAAUUUCCGUGAGUCAUCGAAUCUUUGAACGCACAUUGCGCCCACUGGUAUUCCGGUGGGCAUGCCUAUUCGAGCGUCAUUAUCCUCUCUCCAACCUCCGGGCUGGGUGUUGGACCGUGUUGUGGCAACGCAACUGGUCUCAAAGACAAUGACGGCGUCCGUGGGACCCUCUUCGCAACGAGUCUUUCGAGGCACGCGGGGAGUUGCAAGGUCCCGGCGGGUCGGUCUAAACCCUUUUAUUUUUCUAAGGUUGACCUCGGAUCAGGUAGGAAUACCCGCUGAACUUAAGCAUAUCAAUAAGCGGAGGA
Molecule: unclassified non-coding RNA, 350 nt
Filed under: soil metagenome
Description: partial contains 5.8S ribosomal RNA, internal transcribed spacer 2, and large subunit ribosomal RNA
Rfam family: 5.8S ribosomal RNA (bases 1-121)
Source: RNAcentral